ACAGUAUUCCUUUUCCCCACGGAAACGCAGCUCCCCCUCCUCCUCCGGCCUCAUGUCCACGCCGCCGGGCGAGCAGCCGCGGGCCGCGGCCACCAAGUACGUGCUGAUCACGGGCGGCGUCGUCAGCGGGCUCGGCAAGGGCGUCACCGCCAGCAGCGUCGGCGUCGUCCUCAAGGCCUGCGGCCUCCGCGUCACCUGCAUCAAGAUCGAUCCAUACUUGAACACAGAUGCUGGUACUAUGUCCCCCUUCGAGCAUGGUGAGGUGUUUGUCCUUGAUGAUGGUGGAGAGGUUGAUUUGGACUUAGGAAACUAUGAGCGUUUCAUAGAUGUUACUCUGACUAGGGACAACAAUAUUACCACUGGAAAGAUAUAUCAGUCUGUCAUUGAGAAGGAGAGAAAGGGCGAUUAUCUUGGAAAGACAGUCCAGGUUGUCCCUCAUGUAACCGAUGAAAUAAAACAGUGGAUACAGUCAGUGUCCUCUGUUCCUGUGGAUGGGCAGACUCGUCCAGCUGAUGUUUGUGUUAUUGAGUUGGGAGGCACUGUAGGUGAUAUUGAGUCAAUGCCAUUCAUUGAAGCUUUGCGCCAAUUGUCCUUCUCUCUUGGCAAGGAGAAUUUCUGCCUCAUACAUGUUAGCCUUGUUCCGGUAUUGGGUGUAGUUGGUGAGCAGAAAACUAAGCCAACACAACACAGUGUACGGGAAUUGAGGGCCUUGGGUCUGACUCCUGAUCUUCUAGCAUGCCGGUCAGCGCAGCCACUAAUAGGAUCUGUUAAAGAGAAGCUUUCCCAAUUCUGCCAUGUCCCGGUUGAGAACAUACUUAACAUCCAUGAUGUUCCAAAUUUAUGGCAUGUCCCACUUAUUCUUAGAAAUCAAAAGGCUCAUGAAGCUAUAAUCAAACAGCUAAACCUUGCAGGGUCUGCUGGACCACCUGAGUUACGAGAUUGGACAGAGAUGGCUGAGUCAUAUGACAACCUUAAGAACUCUGUUAAAAUUGCUUUGGUUGGGAAGUAUACUAACUUGACAGAUUCUUAUCUAUCAGUGGUGAAGGCUCUCCUACAUGCCAGUGUUGCCUGUUCAUUGAAGCCAUCUAUCCAGUGGAUUGCAGCUUCAGAUCUUGAAGAUGCAACUGCAAUAAAUGCACCAGAUGCCCAUGCAAAAGCCUGGGAAACUCUUAAAGGUUCAGCAUGCAUUUUGAUACCUGGAGGAUUUGGAGAUCGUGGAAUCUCAGGGAUGAUAUUGGCUGCCAAAUAUGCCCGUGAGAAUAAAGUUCCAUAUCUUGGUAUUUGCUUGGGCAUGCAGAUAUCAGUGAUUGAGAUAUCCAGACAUGUCUUGGGCCUGGAAGAUGCAGACAGUGAAGAGUUCAACAAGGAUGUACCAAACCGUGUUGUUAUGUACAUGCCUGAGGUUUCGAAAACACAUAUGGGAAACACGAUGAGGUUGGGCUGCAGGAGAACAUUCUUUCGCAAACCUGAUUGUCUUACAUCAAAACUGUAUGGAAGUCCUCCACAUGUAGAUGAGCGUCAUCGUCAUAGAUACGAGGUCAAUCCCUAUUUUGUUCCCAUGCUUGAAAAUGCUGGUCUUCAUUUUGUUGGCUGUGAUGAAAGUGGAAAUAGGAUGGAGAUUGUGGAGCUACAGGAUCACCCUUUCUAUUUAGGUGUUCAGUUCCAUCCAGAGUUCAAAUCAAGGCCUCGAAGACCUUCACCUCCUUUUACAGGUUAUUUCUUUGUUAUGCUUGUGAAAACCAAAAAUUAUAGAAUGUUUAGAAUCCCUUUCAGAGAAGAUUUAUUGAAUUAAUCUGUACUAGUUAGAAUGCUGCAGUACCAUCAUGAUCUCAAUGUGCUGAGUUAUUAUUUUACUUGCAUAGUCUAUAUUUGCUGCGCAGGUCUAAUAUUAUUUGUUUUGAGAACUACUCAGGGCUAAUAAUGGCAGCCACUAAACAACUGGGAGCAAUUUCAAAUCACUCGAAUGGCUACAUUGGAGCUUCUGAGUAAGAUAUUGAUCUUCCUUUGGGUGGAGUUGAAGCAUUUUGCUCCUUGCUGCUGAGGUUCAAGCUCUUUCUGUACACAUGGUACCGGAAAUGGAACUGCAUUAGAAGAGACUUGUGCCCUUAGAGACCACUCGAGUGGCGUAGCUGAUGAUCAGUAUACAGGGUCGAACCUCAUGAUUUUGUUGACAGUUAUUAGUGUAUGGGGUCGAACCUCAUGAUUUUGUUGACAGUUAUGAGCAUAUCAUCUCACCCUGUGAUCGCGAACCAA
This is an RNA transcript of Panicum virgatum (switchgrass), 2253 nucleotides long. It is a transcript of the gene named CTP synthase, with no coding region annotated. Lineage: Eukaryota; Viridiplantae; Streptophyta; Magnoliopsida; Poales; Poaceae. The transcript has 22 exons. The record is from RefSeq and is a predicted model, not a curated record.